This 548-nucleotide long non-coding RNA is filed under the name Cricetulus griseus (Chinese hamster). RNAcentral's name for it is "lncRNA (ENSCGRG00015037298.1)". Lineage: Eukaryota; Metazoa; Chordata; Mammalia; Rodentia; Cricetidae. The record is from RNAcentral.
CGAAAGAGGAAGAGCCAGGGCUGCUGGAUGCCUAGUGCAGGAAUUUUGCAGCUAGACUGAGGAAUGCCUUAGAGUCCCUGAUAUAUAAGGUAAUGUCUAGUUUACAGCAUGGGUGGAGCCAGGCUAGCAGCUCCCCUCUUUUCAACAGAGGAAAGGAAUAUGGGGGAACUUUUAUUUUUGUAAAAGCAGAACCCAGUAACAAAGACUACUCUGUGACAGUGUUGGUUCCAGUAGCAGUAGAGGACCAAUGGACUGGUUUAGAGAAAAUGAGUUUGCUCUGUGAUGUAAUACAAGUUUGCUUUGUCCUGAGGCCAGCAUGACUGAGGAUGCAGAGGAGGGAGAAGAGGAAAGUUUGAAAGGGACUUUUGGUUAAUAGUUUCCAGAGAUGGUUGAGCAGGACUUGAGUGGAGGGAUAUUGGAUAUUGUGGAAGAUUGCUGCGAGGUAUACCAUAAUUAUGAGCAUCUGUUUCAGCACUCCUGAUACUUUGGACCAGCAGGUGGAAUCCUUCAAGGCUGCCUCACAGGACUUUCCCAGAGCUAUACCAGAG